RNAcentral lists this ribosomal RNA (253 nucleotides) under uncultured bacterium. RNAcentral describes it as "partial 16S ribosomal RNA". It matches the Rfam family "Bacterial small subunit ribosomal RNA", at positions 524 to 776 of the family's 1533-position model. The record is from RNAcentral.
UACAGAGGAUGCAAGCGUUAUCCGGAAUUAUUGGGCGUAAAGCGUCCGCAGGCGGUUUUGUAAGUCUGCUGUUAAAGCGUUAGGCUCAACCUAAUAAGGGCAGUGGAAACUAUGAGACUAGAGUAUGUUAGGGGUAGAGGGAAUUCCCAGUGUAGCGGUGAAAUGCGUAGAGAUUGGGAAGAACACCGGUGGCGAAAGCGCUCUGCUAGGACAAUACUGACACUGAGGGACGAAAGCUAGGGGAGCGAAUGGG